AGGAGAAGGGGCGGUGGGCGUGGCGGGUGUGGCGGAAGAGAGUGGUCUGACAUACCCCCCACCACACAGUAACUCGAAGACCACAGGGAUGCUGCCUAAAUUCUCGACACCCAAGCGUGAUCCAGAUCCUGAAGGCGAGGCCGGGGCAGGAAGGAAAUCUCAAGAGUCACCAGGCAGAGCCCAGGGGGUUUUGACAUCUCGGCUCUGUGGUCCCUCACCUCCAAUGCCACCUCCAUAGUCUCUGUAGAGGGGACGUUGGCUGUUGUGGGAUCCCAGCCAGAGGGCGGAGGUGGGCGGGAAUGGGCGGGGGCUAGGAGAGGAGGACGUUUAGUCCUCCAUAGCCUUUCCUCUGGUGCGACAGGGAGGGAGGAGACUGUGUGUGCCGGGGGAGAGGCUGAUGCCUCUGGAGGCCACGGCAGCCUCCUCUGGGCUCAAGCUCCAUGGAGCAUGUGGUCCCCACUCUGUCUGCAGCUCGACUGGCCAGGUUGGUGCCCUAUGCUGGGUUAUGAAGAUGGGAGGUGUGUGUGUGCAUGUAAAGGAAAGAGAGAGGAGGGAGGGAAUGAUCCAGAGAGGGGGGCAGGAGAGAAUAAGGAGGGAAGAAAUGAGGAGGAGAGAAUGUAGGAGAAGGGAGAAGGUAAAGGAGGGAGAGAAAACAGAGAAAGGACAUCCCUUUCUGUGCUAUGUUCUUUCCCUGCUUCUUGCCAAGGAGAAGGGACCUGCCCCGCGUCCCACAGUUGGGUGGGGGCAGAGUGGCAGACUCCAUCAGCUACACGUCUGAUCUUUUUCAUCUUCUGCUAGAGGGAGUGCUGGUGAUGGGACCCAGUCAUUGCUAUUCUGUUCAGGAAGCUGGAUGCUGCAGGCUCACGUGGGAGCCAUCUUCCAGCCCCCUGGUCCCAAAGCCACCAGCUGGGCAGCCUGGCAGCCCUGGCUGUGACACUGAAGCCCCCUGUGCUUGGUCCUCGGGCCCAGGAGGGGCUGAGCAGUGGGUAUCAUCCUCGCUAGCUGCACCAUCCCUGCCGGGAGCCCUGAGAGCAGAUGAGAAUCUGGUGAUGCUGGAGUCUUGGUGGGGGGCCGUCAACUUCCUGCAGCGUGUUCACCGGCUGCAGAAGCUCGUGUCAGAUACGGGCGCAACGUUUAACUGGUCUGGCUGCGUGGAAGUCAGCUGCCCUGUAGGCGACACAACCGCCUUCAUUUCUAGCAGGGCUCGAGGGUCAGGAGCCAGCCCGGUGCUGUGGGAAGAGCAGGAUCCAGAGACAGGCAGAGCUGUGGCACCUUCCAGCUCCGCAGGUCCCGUCACCUCCCUGAGCCCCAGCUUCCUCAUUUGUCAAAUGGGGAUGAUCCUAGUGGAGGUGCGUUUGCUGACAUGUAUGAAAAACUUACUGUUCCAAAUGCUUUGGGCAUUAACUCUAAUUUAUCCUCAUAACAGACUGUUCCGGUUUUCUAUUUCUGUGAAACUUAGUGGCUUAAAAUGUCAACUGAUCAUUAUGUGUCCCACUUCUGUGGCUUGGCUGGGCUCAGCUGGGCGCUCCUGGCUUGAGGUCUCUCAUGCAGUCGUGGGUCAGGGGCAGCUGGAGCUGGAAUCAUCUGAAGGCUCGACUGGGCUGGGUGUCCAAGGGGCGUCUUCACUCACAGACCCAGCACCAUGGUGCCUCUCUCUCCACGGGGCCUCAGCCACCAGGACCCUUCCACGUGACUUGGGCUUCUCACUGCGUGGGGUGUAUUCAUUUUUCUGUUGCUGCUGUAACAAAUGACCACAAAUUUAGCAGUUCAAAAAAAAAAUACACACUGAUUGUGUCACAGUCUGGAGGCCAGAAGGACAGCGUGGCUCACUGGGUCCUUUGCUCAGAGUCUCAGGAAGCCAAAAUCAAGCUGUGAGUGGGGCUGUGUUCCUUUCUGGAAGCUCUGAGAAUGAACCCACUUCAAGCUCAUUCAGGUUGCUGGCUGAAUGCAGGAACCUGUGGUUGUCGGAGUGGGGUCCUCGUUUCCACCCAGGUACUGGUCUUUGCUCCCAGAGGCUGCCCACAUUCCCUCUCCGGUUCUCCAGGUGGCUCCUUCCAGCAACAGCAGGAUGAGUCUCUUUCAUGCUUUGAGUCUCUCUGACUUCUCCUUCUGCUGCAUCUCUCUGCCUCCAGUCAGAGGAAGCUCUCUGCUUUUAAGGGCUCAUGUGACAGCUGGGGCCCACGGGGUGAUCCAGGAUAAUCUGAUCUUAAGGUCCAUAGCUGUAAUCACAUCUGGAAAGCCCCUUUUGCUCUAUAAAGUAACAUCCUCACAGGUUCCUGGACCUCUUUAGGGGGCCAUUCUGUCUGCCGCAGGUGGUCUCAAGGGAGUUCUGUGCUGCCAGGCCGGUGAAAGGCUAUGCCCGUAUCUGGCCUAGGGUCCCUCCUGCUGAGGUCUGUUGGGCAAAGCACGACCGACCCCACCCCGACUGAACGGGGUGGAGAAACAGACCCCACACUGUGGGAGAACAUGUGGCAGGGGAAAUGUUGUUGGGACCAUCUUUAGAACAUCAAAUCUGCCACACCACCCUAGCUCAUUCUCAUCUCCUUUUACAAAUGAGGAAACGGAGGCACAGAGGAGUUACGUAACUUGCCUACAAUCCAACAGCCGGUAUCUGACGGUCAGGAGUUGGAGCGAGCAGGUGGCUCCAGGCCCUGCCCUCUUAUCCAUCAGCCAGAUCCGAAUGCCCGUGAUGAUCUGAGUGCCGCGCCGGCCCGGGCAGGUAGCCGUGAGCAGCCCGGGUCUUCGUUAGCGUCUACAGUCAGCCUGUUGCUGAUUCCCGGUCCGACCACCUUCCAGCCGCGUGACCUAGAGUGAGGCAGGCACAGCCGCUUCCCUCGGAGAGGGGACAGUAUUGUGGCUGAAGCGGACCAUUAACAGCUGAUAGCAUUGCGGGAUGAUGAGCAUUUGGGGGGGGCGUGGUGUAAGGGAGCCCUGGGGGGUCUAGCAGGAGGCCUAACCCGCUCCAGAGGGAGGAGACGGCCUCCUGGGGAAAAGCCAACCUGAGGCCUUAAGGAAGAGAGUCACCGAGAGGAGAAAUGGCAGGAAGUCCAGGGUUUGGGCCAAGAAGAGCAUGAAUGUGUAAAGGUCUGACAUCUGAGAAAACGUGGCGCCUUUCCUCUGGGAUCAUUCAUUUGGGGCACAGCAGGGGCAGUGGGUUGAAUAGUGUCUCCCUUGUCCCUGUACCGAAUUCACGUCCACCCAGAACCCAGAACGUGACCUUAUUUUGGAAUGAGGGUCUUUGCAGAUGUAAUUAGUUGAGAGUCUCGAGAUGAUGUCCUACUGGAUUAGGAUGGGCCCUAAAUUGGAUGACUGAUGUCCUUAUACGAGACAGGAGGGGACCCGAGACAGACACAGAGACCCUCAGGGGAGAAGACGGUGUGAAGAUGGAGACAGAGGUUGCAAUGAUGCAUCCAAAAGCCAAGGAACGCCCAAGGAUUUCCGCAGCCACAGGAAGCCAGGAGAGAGGCAGGGACCGGAUGCUCCCUCAGAUGCCCCACGAGUGACCGAACCUGCCAUUCACCUUGAUUUCAGGCUUCUCGCCUCCAGAACUGUGCGGGAACACGUUUCUGUUGUUUUCAGCUACUAAACUGUGGUAAUCUGUCACAGCAGCCCUAGGAAACCAAUACGGCCCAGCAGGAGGCCACGGGCUCCAGGCCGUGUCGGGGAGAGGUGACAGGACCCACGGGGGUUUGCCUAUGAGAGGCGUUCUCCAAGGCAAGUCAUUGCUAUCAGGAGGCAUUAGCGAACCUUGGAAAAGCAGUCUAUCCCUGGUCAGUAAACUCCCAGAUGCCAGAACAUCAAGAAUACAGAAAAUAAGAAAAUAUAGUGUUAUGCAAGGUACGAAGGAUCACACCCAAUUUGUCCAUGAGAUAACCAUGAAUCCAAGAAGGGGCAUAAUUUCUCCAGGGUGACACAGCUAGUAAAUGAAGGUGCUGGGUCAAAUUUCAAGCCAGGUCAAAUAAAUCUUUAUUGAUAGAAAGAAAGAAAGAAAGAAAGAAAGAAAGNNNNNNNNNNNNNNNNNNNNAGGAGUGUUUGGAUCCGAUUACCUGCUCUUUGGCAAGCGGUAGGAUUAAUGCCAUGGCUAUUUUGGCCACAGAUGCCUCUGGUUUGGUUACCUACCUUGCCGACUCAUUAGCAGAGAUUCACAAUGCCUGGUUUAUUUUGCUAGUCUGAGCUAGGCUGGGGCCUUUGGGCUGGGAACACUUUGCUUAUGUACCUUUUUAUAUGUUUUUUGGGUCCUUGGACACAUUCCCCAAAAUGUUGGUUGUUUCAUUAAUGUCUCAGUGGAGUAAUCAUAAUCACAAACAUCGAUAUUAUUUAUUGAGCUUCUACUCUGUGCCACGUGCUUUGGACUGAUCAUCUCAACAGUCCUGCGUGGUGGCACAAGGAUCCCUAUAGUAAUAAUGAUAAUAAUAAUGACAACAGCAACAAUGGCGCUAACAACAAUAACAGUAAGAGGAAACAUUUCUCGAGUGUUAGUCACUAGGUGGCGGGCACUGGCCGCUGUGAUGUGAGCACUGUUGUUAUGCCAUGCCCAUGUGGAUGUUUGGGCUGAAUCUCAGAGACUUCCCAGCAUUUCUGACCUCCGGAAGGAGAUGGCGCAGUGUUUUGCUGAAAGAGCAUGGGCCCAUCCUCCUUCCAUCUUCCCAGAGGGCGGGAGAGGGCCGCCCGCCCACAGGCCUCAGAUUGGAAGGUAUGAAGAAAGUUCACACAGUUCUGGAGGGCAGCCCCCAAGUAGUGCCCACUCGGAUCAGAAGGUGCCCAGGCUCAGGGCAGAGUGCUCGAAAUUGCUAAUAACAGCCAAAUGGCCUUCCUGCAUUAAUCGCCAUGUUCUCGGCCCUUGGGACUGGAGGUGAGCUGGGGGCUCUUGAGAGAAAUGCUACUCUCUGUCUCUCUCAUCCACAGCACCCCACCCCCGGCCUGCCCCCAGCUCUGCUGUUCCCCAAGGAGACGGCUGGCCACAGACUGCCUCCCCCAACUCCUGCCCUGAGGGUGACACCUCGGCAGGAUAUUGGGGUGGGGGGAAGGGCUGGUAUCCACUCCUCCCCCCACCAAUCCCAUUCCAUUUACUAGUAAAACACUCCUGCAUCAGCACUAAAUUUUGAUUAAAAAAAUAGAGAAACUGCUGAUGCCCCCAUCCUGAGAUGAUGAUUCUUUCCACUUCUCUGCCUCCCCCUCCAGUCUUUGGCCAGGUAAUAGAGAACCCAGCUUGAACAGAGCCUGUCCUGUUUGCCAACGGGUAAGCACGCGGGUCCUGGAGCCCAGCUGGGCACGGAGCCUGCCUCUGCCGCUUUGUAGCUGUGGGACUCUUGGCAAGUCGCUGAUCCUCUCUGAGCCUCAGUUUCCUCAUCUGUAACAUGGGGUAACAACAUUGCCAACCUCAGAGGAAGAUGGGUGCGGAUGUUAGCUCAGGGCUGGUCUUCCUCAGCAAAAAGAGGAGGAUUAGCAGCAGUUAGCUCAGGGUUAACCUUCCUCAAAAAGCAAAAAGCAAAAAACAAAACAAACAAAACAACAACAACAAAGAUCGCCAACCUCGGACGGUUGUCGUAAAGAUUAAAUGAGACAGUAAUCAGAGCUGUAGCGUGGUGCCUGGUGGGGAGCCGAGGUCCUCGAGCGGGGGCUCUUGGUUCAUGGGUGGUUCCUAUCCCCUCACUCAGGGCUCCUUGAGCCGCCACAGGGCCCCCCUCCCCGCCGAGUCAACUCCACCUUGUCCGUUAGAUCUCAGUUCAAACAUCACCUCCUCAGGGAGGACCCCCUGCACCUCUGGUCUGGGCCGCCCUCUUUGUUAGAGCUGCUCAUUUGCCUUCUGUCUUCACAGCAGAAGCAAGAUGUGUCCCCAAGUCUGAGGGGACGCCUGCCUGGCUGGGUCGCUGCAGCUUGCAUCCAGGGCCCGUCAUCUGGGCUUUUGCAGCAUCCGCACCGGGCGGAGAGGCGUCCCAAAUGGGCCCAAGUGGACCACUUGUCGCAGCUGACCGCAGAGGGGGUGAAGCCAGCCCUGCUCCCCAACCCUCGGGUGGGCACAAUCUUGGGCCCACUUGGAGACUGAAGGCAGGCAUCUUGGGGGCUUGGGGAGGGGCGAGGGGGAAGAGAGACAUUUCCCUUGCUGGCGAUGUCAGCUUCUUCUGCCUUGCCAGGACCGAGUCUCAAAGGAUGAAGACUCCUGGGUGCACUUUAUCCCCUCCCUCCAGGCCUGGGACACUGGGCUCACUGGCGAAGGCUCAGGAGGGCCUAGGAUGCUCCUGGGACGGACUUCCCAGGGACCGGCUCUGCUUGGUGAUUGAUGAUAAUGACACCAGUUGGAACCAAACGCAUAUUACCCUGUUGGUAAAUUUCAUUUGCAAGAUCUGCUUCUCCCGCGGUCCCUCCGGGAGCACAACACUUCAGUGUUUUAAGUCUCUAUUAGCUAAAUUUUGCAAACUGGCCUCAGCUGGAUCACAACAAACCCGAGCUAUCCAGGUUUCUGGGGACACAUUCAUUCCAGCCUCCUUUUGGCUGGCCUGUGAGAUAGUCAAGGGUCGAGGUUGUGGCCUCGGAGAGAGGAGAGCUGGGUUCAAAUCUUGGCUGUUCCAUUUCCCAGCCGUGUGGCCUUGGACAGAUGACUUCAUGUCUCUGAGCCUCAUCUUGCUCAUCUAUAAAAUGGGAGCAAUAACAUUCAGAGGAGGGGGAGUGAGGUGAGGAUGCUUGUUCUCCUGUGACCUCUUCGCAGGGUCAGUCAGGGUCAAGUGGACCUCUUGAUUGAAGGUCACAGCUCCCAUCCCACAGCCCUCUUCUUACAACUUUCUCUGUCUCCAGAUUCUGGUAACUGCUUCCUCCUCCUCAUCCCAGGAUUAGCUUUCAAAACUAACUUCAUCUUUCCCAUCCUCUCGUCCUCCUUGUCCCUUAGGCUCUGUUUUCCCCCACCCCUGCUGGGACUUAGCAUCUUUCUCUGCAGGGCCUCAAUUCUUGCCACUGUGAAUAAUUCCUUCCUCUGAACCCACUUCCUGAAGUAUCAGCUGAUAACAGAUUCCAGCAGGGGUUCUCCCUCUGGGGUCCAGGGGUUGUGCGGAAUUUUGCAUCUGUCUGCAUUUGUCCAGUAAGAGAGUUCAUGGCUUUCCUUCCUUCCACCCCCUACAUUCUCAAUCAGAAAAAGUUCAGAACCAUUGGGUAUCUGGUACCUGUCAUUUCUCCCAGGAUCACUGGAUUUUACAGAUGGAUUUUGAAUAGCCAAAUGCAUGAUGGGGGGAAUCGUGGUGGAAUUAUUAUAUGGGUUGCAAAGAUAACAGGGCCUGGGGCAGCCUGGAGCUUCCUCAGCUGGCCCUACACAGACCAUGCUGUGCUAAUGCUGCUUAAUGGACAGCUUGCUGAUUUUAUGAUCCCAAAGUGGGAAAACAAAGCCUGGGAGAUUCACGUAGGAUUAGAAAGAGGCCAGAUUUCUUAUUCUCUAAGACUUUUUCAGAGUGAAGGAGAAAGGAAAAUACUAAUAAAAGAUGACAUGCAAAAUUAAAUGGACCGGAGAACAGAUAACAAAAUAAAUCUCGUGCCCAAGGAGUGUGGCUGGCUGAUGUUGGCGGGAGAAUAUUUAAGAGGGGAAGAAAUGGAUAAAAGAAAGAAAAAGGAGAGUUUCUCCCUCUUUUCUGGCAGUGAUCCAGUCUCUAUCUUUAGGAAUUGGACAGCAGAGCGCGCAUGGCCGUGUUUCUUAGCAACCUCAGGUGGUCCAGCAUCAGGGGGAGGUAAAUCUUUGGGGGAUGGAAUUCUUUUCCUUUUUUCAUUCUCUUCUUUUCCUCCUCCCUCUCUGCUCUCUGUUUCUGUUCUCUGUCUGUCUUUAUUAAGCUCUGACAAGAUGCUGGGUGUGGCGGUAGGUGCUUUUACCAACAUUGUCUCAGAUUUGCAACUUGCCGGCGAUGUGACCUUGGACAUAAGAUUGUUCCUUCCUUGGUGGAGCGGUUGCCGAGCUUGCACGAAAUGAUACAUCUAAAGCCAUCUGUGUCUGGGAGCAGAAGUCAAUUAAUAAAUGUUACUUCUCCCCCUUUCUCCUUGUAACAAAGUUGGCCAGCCCCUAAUGCAUCUAAUUAAUAACUGUGCAUUUUAAAGAUACUGACACAGCGAAGAAGAAACUGUGGCUUCUUUUCUUGCCCAGAGGAGGGAACCUGGACGUAAAGGGGCUGAAGUUGCAUGUUUUGAAAUGUGAAGGUGGGCCCUUGAUUCUUGUUUUAAGGUGUGGAGUAGGCAGAGAUGGUUUUGAUAUGCAAAUAUGCAUUGUGUUGCCAUGACAAAGAUGUUGCAAGGAAAUAGAAAAUCACAGAACCUCAAAGCCCAGAACCGAUUUUCAAGCAAAGUAACCUCAUUUUCUAAGCCCAAAUUGGGACGGAGGGUCAGAAGGGUGCAGGUGUUCUUAUGGGGACAGCAGGACAAAGCCAUAUUGUUGAGAGUUUGAGAUGCUUUCUUUUAAACUUUUUAACAUAGCUGAAAUUAGAAUGCCUUUUGUGUGUGUGCUCAAUGUAGUUUUUUUCUUCUUCUAAGUCCAGGAAAGCUGUUAUUAUACACAAUGUGCCUCUUACAAGCGAUGGUAUCUCAAAAUCAAGCAAAUGUGGUUUUGAAAUUAGAACCCGAAUCAACGAUCAGUCCAAAGUGAGAGCUCCUUGUUCUCUUCUGUGCUGUGAAGAGGGUAGACCAGUUGAUCACCCGUCUAACACUGGUGUGCCGGGAGGUGCCGGCGCCCCAGCUACCCCCAGCAUCUGCCUCCAUCUUCUUGUGCUUCCAUCCUGAGGGCCCUUUGGGGUAAAGCAUGAUCUGCCUGUGCUUGGGGAAGGCUAGAAGCACCAGGGAGUUAAUACUCCUGGAAACAGCCCUCAGCCAACACGGCCAGAGAGUUGGUGGAAUACAUGGAAGAUCGCUCGCCCUUUAAAGGGAAGCUGCAAGGUAUGUUCUCCCCCGUCCUGCCCAGAGUUCCCCGUGGUCCUGAGCUCCAGUUUGCACGCAGGGCAUCUUGCUUGUUAACACAUCCUUGGCUGCCCGUCCCUCCUUCCCUGUCUCACUUUCCUCUUCCUCCUGCUGAUGUAUCUGGGAUCCCCUCCCAAAGAAAUGAAUUGCACCAGAAACCUCGUGUGAUGCUUAAUUUUCUGCAUCAACUUUGCUGGGCCACCAGAUGCCCAGAGAACUGGUAAAACAUUAUUUCUGGGUGUGCCCGUGAGGGUGUUUCCAGAAGCGAAUGGCAUUUUAAUUGGUAGACUGAGUAAAGCAGAUUGCCCUUACCACUGUGGGUGGACGCCAUCCAAUCUGUGGAGGGCCAGAAUAGAACGGAAAGGCAGGGGAAGGAGAAUUGACUGCCUGACUGUUGAGCUGGAACGUUGCUGAACUGCUGGCCUCUGUGCUCGUGGUCCUUAGGCCUUCAGACCUGGCCUGGAAUCUAACCACUGGCUCCCCGGCUCCUGGGCCUUCAGAAUACACACACUGGCAUCCCUGAGCCUCCAGCUUGUAGAUGAAAGAUGGUGGGACUUCGUCUCCAUCAUCAUGUGAGCCAAUACCUUAUGACAAAUAUAUGGAUCCUGUGGUUCCCUUCUCUAGAGAACCCUAAUACACCUUGUCUCGGAGUCUGCUGCUGGGGACCCCAGCCUGAGACCGCUGGCCAUCUGUGACUUCAUGGGGGCCUCUCUACUGGGGGGACAGGUACCGUGAAGCCUGUCCCCAGGGUAUCUUGUCAAUAUUGAAGCAGCUGGGCAGCCGUGGAGCAGGAAAAGGAGAACUGCCUUGAAAGCCAGAUGACUCCGCUCAAAUGCCAGCAUUGCCUCUCACCACCUGUGCGAGCUCGGGCACCAUCUGAAUCCUGCUAAAGCCUCAGUUUCCCCAUCUGUAAAAUGAAAGAAGUAAUCUUUCCUACGAGGCUGGAGCGAAGCUCAGAAAAUAGUCUGCUUGUAUGUGAAAGGACUUUGUAAAUUGAUAAACCACGUGCAUCAGUAUUCUUGUAAUUGAGAGGGAGGAUGACUCAGGAGAAAAACACAGACUUUGGGGUCUUGACUCAGCUUGAUUCAGACCCCUGACCUGCUGCAUCUCAUCCACACUCUUGAUCAACUAACAGAAGUGCUUUGAGGCUUGUUUCCUCAUCUGCCAAAUGGAUGUAUUCAUGAGGGGACUAAGCAUGUAUUAGUGAGGGUACAAAGCUGUAACAAAGAGGCCCCUGAAUAGUAUAUAGAAGUCUAUUUUCUCUCUCACCCAGGGGGCUUAGCAUGAGCGCUCCAAGGCUGGCAUCUCUACUCCACCGUCAUCCAGGGACCCAGCUUCCCUCCACUUUGCUGCUCUGCCAACAUCAGCAUGGCAAAGCGGGCUCACCCGCAAGACACCAUGGAACGGGGACUAGCCAUCACUUUCCAUGUGAUAUGGAAGCUUCACAUGUUCCCUCUGUUUAUUUCCCACAGGUUAGAUUGUCACAUGGUUGCACCUUGUUGCAAGGGAGGCUGGGAAAUCCUACCUCUUCCUGGGCUCCAAGGCUAUGCAUCUUGUUAAAAUUUGGAGGGGUCUCUAUUACUAAGAGGAAAAGAAAAGAUGCCAAGAGGCAACUAGCAAUUUCUGCAAGAGGGGUAAUUUCUACCACACUGGGUUGUUGUGAAGCUUAAAUGAGAUCCUGUCUGCCAAGAGCCAGCACAGAACAUGUCCUUAAUAAUUUAGUCCCUGUUUGUCUUUAUCGCUACAGCAGCAGACCAGAGGUACUGGAGCCUGAGGAUAAGCUGAGGUGGGGCAUCUGGUAAUGAGCCAGGACCCCUUCAGAGGCCCUUUGCCGAGCCAGCGCCUCCUUGCUUCCCUGAUCUGAGGGGGGCUGACCCGUCCCUGUGCUCUCCUCCCUGAGCAUCCCGGCCCUGGCUCCCCAAAGCCCACCUUGGUGAGGGAAUCUGGUUUCCCGUCAUGACUGGGCAGGCGGUGGACCAUUACCGGAGGAAUUCGAAAUUGGCUGGGCCCACCCUGCAGAAGACCCCAAUCUCCAAUCCAGCUCACCUUUCAGGAUCUCCAGAGGGGCUUUCCAGCCCACCUGUGCGAGUGACGUUCCACCCGGAGGGGGCAUUCGUCCGUGGGGUGGUCCGAAGGAGAGCGGAAGAAACCCAGACAGGAGCGGGAUAUAGUGAAUGAGAAUGAGCCCACGGACAGGCUCUGAAUUCCGCUCCUUCCUCUGCUUUGGACUUGCUGUGUGACUUGAAGCAUGUCUUUGUGCCUCUGGUCUCCCCUUGCCACAUCUUUCUCUGGUUUUCUAGAGUCUAAGGCAGACCAACCAGCGGGUGUGCGUUCGCCUCACCCGGCCUGGUGUUUCUGGGCUUUAUUUGGGAGGGAAAAUUCAUAUUUGGGUUCAGUUUAGCUUGGGACUUAGGAAAGAGGUCCAGUAGUCAUUCGUUUUAGUGGUGUUUAUUGAGCACCUGCUGUGUACCAGGCCCCACCACCCUGGGCUCAAGGAGCUCACGGGGAGAGGUGGCGGAGAAGAGCAUGAGCAUCCAAGCAGAUGAUGACAACGCAGUCCAAUGACCAUGGAGGGAGAACUGAGGACGUCAGGGCUGACUAUGCCCAAAGACUUCGGAAAAGAGGCUGCGGUUUUUGAAUAAUCAAAGGUGCUGAUAUUUACUGAGUCGUUAGCACGUGCCAGACUCUGUGCCGAGGGAUUUGCAUGCAGUAUCUCGCCAGUCUUCCCUUUAGCCCUAGGAGGUAGGUUCAACUAUUCACACCCGUUUAUAGAUGAGAAAGCUGAGGCUCAGAGAGGUUAAGUAACUUGCAUCAGACCACACAGCUAGGAAGAGGCAGAGUUGCAGGCUUGUUGUCAGCAUACUGCAGUUCCAUAGCCAAAUCCUGGCCCAUGGCCUGUUUUUGUAAACAAAGUUUUACUGGAACCUAGACACACUCACUCAUUUACAUGUUAUCUGUGACAGAGCUGAUUAGUUGUUACGAGACCAAAUGACCUGCAAAGCUGAAAAUAUUUACCGUCUGAUCUUUUACAGAAAAACUUUGAGCCCUGCUUUAUUACAUUGUCAUUUAAUUGUCACAACAACCUGGUUAUCGCCCCCCUUAUACCAGGUGGGGAAACUGAGGCACGGGGAGGCAAAGUUGCUUGUCCAUGGUCCCACAGCAGAGCUGCGAUUAGCACUCUGGCUGGGGCCCCGAGGCUUUGUCCCUAACCACUCUGCCCACUGUCCUUCCAGUCCUAAGCGAGGACUGCUCCUUAUGUUUAAUUUUCGCAUCUCGUUCAGCGUGAGGAAGAGAAAAGGUACUUGUUGGAACUGGCUACAAGCAGGUGUCAAAAUAUUUUCUGUGGCCCCAGAGAUGUGCAUUGGGAAGGAAAAUCACGCGGACCGGAGCUUUCAAUAUUUUUCUUUGUGGUGACCACAUAACGAGGGCUUUGGCAGCUGGCCCAAAAUGGUCCAUCCGCCGCAGGCUGUGGGGACGGGCUGGAAAAGCAGAUAAUAAUAGUCCUGAGUUUAUGGGGUUGCUGCAAGGACUCAAUGAGGUAAUAUGUGCAAAGUGCCAGAACUGUGGCUGACACCUAGUCAGGUCCACAUACGCAUUGGCUAUUUUGUCCUCAAGAGCUGUUCCCAAGGAAUAUUCUUUUUUCUUUCUUUUUUUUUUGAGGAAGAUCAGCCCUGAGCUAACGUCUGCUGCCCAUCCUCCUCUUUUUGCUGAGGAAGACUGGCCCUGAGCUAACAUCCAUGCCCAUCUUCCUCUACUUUGUAUGUGGGACGUCUGCCACAGCAUGGCUUGAUGAGUGGUGCCAUGUCCACACCUGGGAUCCGAACCGGCGAACCCCAGACCACCAAAGCAGAAAGUGCGAACUUAACCACUGCACCACCAGCUCGGCCUCCCAAGGAAUAUUCUUAAUACAUGGCAAUAUCUGAUUCUCUCACUAGCUUCUCUCUCAGCUCUAGGUCUUGUGUGGCUGUUCUCCCUGCCUGGACUCUCUCACCUGUAAGCUGAGACUGGUGUCUACCCAGCUCUCCUCGGUCGUGCAGCCUCAGAUCUGGGGUGGGGGUCUGCAUGGAUGCUGUCUGACGCUCCUCCCUCUAGGCUGUGCGUGCACGCUCCCCUCCAUCAUAAAUGUCCCUCCACCUGCCUGCCUUCCUCUCUGGGCUGUGAGCUCUCGCAGGGCACAGGCUGUGUUGUAUUCAGUGCCGUGGAGCAGAGGUUGAAGUUAGAGAGAGUCUGAGUGUGAGGAGGAUGUGAUGUACUGGUUCUGAGAUGGAGGGGCCCACAUGCAAUGACCAGAGAGGGGCCUCGAGGAGCUGAGGGUGCCCCCAGCUGACAGCCAGCAAUAAAACGGAGACCUCAGUCCUACAACCACAGGAACUGGAUUCUGCCUGCGACCUGAAUGUACUUGGAAGCAGUCACCCCAGGGCCUCCAGAUGCAUAUGCAGCCCUGCUCAUGCCUGCAUUUUAGCCCACUGAGGCCUGGAGCUGAGAAUGUGGCCACGCUACGCUAGACUCUUGACCCAUUGGAACUGUGACGCAAUAAAUUUGUGUUACUUUAAGCUGCUAAGUUUGCGGUGAUUUGGUAUGGCAGCAACAAAGAACAAUUGGACUCUGUGGAUGCCCAGAUGACAAUUUUUGGAAUGAGCAGAUAACCACAGAUUCUGUCUUCUGAGGGUAUUAGCUCUGUGCUUGGGUCUCCCUAGGCUCCUGAAACGCACGGACUCUCCCACUCUCCCAGCGAUUCUGCGGGUUACAUGCUAUUAUUAUCCCCACUCUAGAGAUAGGCAAACUGAGGCCCAGAGAGGUUGGCUUACUUGCCUAGGGUUGCACAGCUGGCAAGUGGCAGAGGUGGGACUUUGGGCCAUCUUGCUCGAAGCUUCUCAUGUCACCACUACACCACACUAUCUUUCUGGCACUAUUUGGAGAUCCUGCCCAUUAUGUUCAUUUUUCAAAUUCUUGCCAUGUCCUCCCAUGGUCUUUCCUCUGUGUGUGAGCAUCCCUGGUGUCUGUCUCUCUUUGGAUGAGGACAUCCCUCCUAUCGGAUUGGGGCCACACCGUUAUGACCUCACUUAACGUUAAUCUCCUCCUUAAAGCCUCGGUCUGCACAUAAGUGACAUUGGGGGUUAGAGCUGCAACACCGGAAUUUUGUGGGAAUGCCUUUCAGUCCAUAACACCUGGCUAAUGCUUGUUCAUUUGUCCAGACUUCGACUUGGGGUCACCACCUCCAGAGAGCCUUGUUGACCUCUCCCCUCCUCCAAGUGGGGCCUGAUACAUGGGAUGUUUUUCUCUCAGGGCCUCCGAAGCUCCUUGGCCUUAUCUGUCUUUCUCCCCAGGCCCCCAGCUCCCUGAGGAGUGGAGGAGGUCAUCGAGAGGAUGUGACCGCCGGGGGACCCUUGAGCUGGACCCAGGCAAUGGGAGGCUCCUCGCCCCUCUGCUCUCCUUGGAUGGUGCAUUCUGCUUGCCUUCUUGGCACUAGAAGCUGCCUUGAGGACACAGCCUUGAAAUAGUAACGUGUUGCUGAGACCAUCCAGACAGUGCACGUGACCAAACCCCAUCAAGUCCUCUAUAUAAACCUGGAAGAUCCUGGUGGGUGGAUGCAGAGACCUAUUCGUCUGGCAGCGCCCAAGACAAGCCUUGUGUGGAAGUUUCCUUGCUGGUUACACUUGCCGCCCACUGGUCUGGAGUGGGCUGCCUCUUUCUUCAGUCUCUCCUCGCCCUCCGUGUACAGGGCCAGUUUGCAAACCAACAUGAGGGCAGGGGCUAGAGUUCAGGCAUUUUGUGCCUCCCCUGUCAGUGCCAGGACCUGGGUCUGAAGACGUGAUAGUGGCCAACAGGUGUCAAGUUCUCAGUAUGCGCCCGGCAUUCCACUACAGCGGCACUGUCCCUUACGGUAGCCAUGAGCCACACGUGGCCGCUGAGUCCUUGAAACAGGAGAACCUAACACAGAGGUCACACUGGAGAACGGGUCCCCUUCCCUUUCCAUCUCUGUGAGUAAGUAGGAGAAGGAUGCACAGCUGUGCUCUGGACUUGCUUCACAACCACCACAUGGCGGGAGGCUGCAGAGGAGCCUGGGGCGAGGUAUGCAGCUGGUGCUAUCAAUAAAAGACUCCUUUUCGCUUGUUUUUCUGUGGCUAAUCCUGGCAGCAGGACGCGCAGGAGACACGCUGGCAGAUGGAGUGGAGGAGAGGCCAGUGGAGAGAAAUACCUGGAGAAAUGCUCCGUGGAAGGGAAUCAGAGCCCCCUUACUCAAAGCAACCACCGUGGAGUUGGAAGGUCUUGGAGCUGAAGAUGUGGGCAUGUUGGGGGAGCUCCCCAGAUCAGACUGAAGUCCCUAUUGUUUGCUUUCCUGCUCUGGAGAGCCCACAACUCAUAGAGCACUAUUUCCAUAUCCAAGGCUGGACCACCUCUACAGCAUCCCUGAAGGAUACUCUUCCUUCCUUAACUUGAUCACCUUCGGGAUGACGUGCUCAUUGCCUCACCUGGGUCAGGAGAGCUGAGGUAGCGCUCUCCCACUUAAACACCACCACGCACAGAAAUGACGCCUGCAUUUCGAUGAACAGCAUAAGGAAAAGCACACGUCUUUUUCAUCCGCCUUUUCUAAAUGCCAGGUUCCUAUUAGAGAUGGAAAAAUGGAGGCACAGAAGGAUUAAGGCUAUUGUCCGAGGUCCCCGGUAGACAGGACUGCCCACGGCGUUAAAAAACCAGAACCCAAAGGCACAUGGAUUGACAAUACUGCCUUCUCUGCCCGAUGACUCACCCCAUGUCCGGCAAAGUCAUUCCUCGUUCUCUCUUUAAGGAGUCCUUGGAACCGCAGUCAAAAAUUAGGGUCAUCUGUCUGGGAAGUAUCAAUGUCACUUUGACAUUAUUGAAUGGUUUCGAAUGGCACAAAAGUUUUUGAAGGGUGAGUGCUGGGGGGGUGGUGGCACUGUUUCCAUGGUGAUGUGAAAAGGCCAGGCCAGCCCUGAAGUGCUGGGAGGUGGGGAGGAAAUAGGCGGUCUGUUUUUUUUUUUAACUUGAGGGUCGUAUUUGCAGGGAGAAUGGACCUAAAACUGCAUAGGAGGGAGAAUGCACCCCAAAGUGUGCAGAGGCAUGCUUCCAGGAGAGUCGGGGUUCUUCUGUCCUCAGCAGCUUAUGUAACGAGCCUGGAUGUGUGUCUCUACAUGUAUGUGUGCAUGUGCGCAUGUGUCUGUGUGUCUCUGAGUCUAUGUGUGUGUGUAUAUAUAUGUGUGUGUAUAUGUAUUUCUACGUGUCUCUGAGUGUAUGGGUGUGUGUUUGCAUUGGUGUGUACACAUGUGCAUCUCUGUGUCUGUGUGUUUAUGUGUAUGCGUCUCUGUGUGUGUACUUCCCCAAGGAAGGGCCAAGGCAGACAUCACUAGUCAACCACGGUAAGCCUCAAACUCCUUCUCUGCAGUGUUUCUCCCCUCUGCCAGCCCACUGGGGUCGACCGCAAGAGGAAAAUGAGGUGCCUUUCCAGUUCUCCGGUGCUAAGUGAGUUGGCAGCAGAGGAUGGAUGAACUCAGGACUUUCAGCUCUUGAUCCAUUGCUUUGUUUGGGCUCUGGAUUAACACACAGACUCUAGGAUUCAAAUCACGGCUCUGCUGGGUACCAGCUCUAUGACCUUGGCCAAGUCACUUAACUUUUCCAAGCCUCAGUUUUCUCAUCUGUAAAAUGGGUGGAACUCUACAUUUCUUCUUAGGGUUAUUUCGAGGCACCGAUGACACAGUCCAUGUAAGGGAGCCUCUUAGUACAGGGUAAAACUGCCAAGAUGCAGUAGCUGCUGCCUUCACCCCCCCCCCCCCCCCCAAAUUUAUAUUCCUUUGCAGGGCCCGGUACAGAAGCUGGAACCCAGGGGGAUCUAUGAUGUCACACUUCUCAUGGCCAGAUCGGGCCUCCGGGUUCUAGGUUCCAAGAAGAUGCCCGACUUCCUGGGAACUGUCCGUCCCUCCUCCCUCCCGGGAGCCCAAAUUCCAAGAAAUGCAGCUAAAAUUGGCCCUCGAACAGCUUUUGCAUAGCACGUCGCAGCUUUUUUUGGGUCUAGAGAGUCGGCUUUCAUGAUGAAAGUGGCACAGAAGGAGAGACCCAGCUAAAAACAGCCACCGCCCAGGUUGGUGUUAACAGGAUGCCGCCUCCCCAGCGUUUCGGGGGUUUGGACGCUUCGACUUCCGCAGCAGCUUUCCCCAUCACCACUAGGGGGCAGCAUCGCCACGCGCGGCGGGGACCGCGCCCGGGACCGUCACAAAGAGCCGCUGCGGAAAAGGAUGCCCGCAAAAAUCUACGCACCAGCCUCAGAAUUCUCCACUGAAUUUAUUCCCCUUUUAUUUGGGGCAUUUGUUUGCAUUGCAGGAGCUCCGCGGAAGUAGUUCUCCCAAGGGCCGUCUUAGCGUCUCAGAAGCAAAGCUAAGGGAUCGUCCGAGCCGCGUGGUGGCCCCGCUGCAGGCCUGUCACCCGCCCCCAGCCCACAGGACUAGAAAAAGUUUGCCAACUUCUGCCCCAAGUCUGCCAGACGGCACUGCGUGCUGUUGGUCCCUCGCAUCUCCCAGCUUGUUGCAUCUCUGGGACCCUCCCCCAUUUCUGCCUGUAGCAAACCUUUCCACCUCAGAAGGUCCAGCGAGAAGCGACCGCGUUCGGCGUGCCUUCAGCCAGCAUCUGCGGAGAGCUGGCGUGUGCCCGGCCUGUUGUGUGCUGGGAUGACGUCCUUGCUCUCAGGACGCUUAUAAAUUGCUGACCAGGCUGCUGACCAGAAGCAGAUCUAGAGCUUUCCAGGAACAGCUCUCGAGCUCUUGUUUCAUUGGUGUUGCAUCUUGAUGGCCUGAGGCCAGGAGUCUGCCUCCCAUUUCUAUGUCACUUAGCACACUGCUGGGCACACGGUGCAGGUCAUUAUAGUUCAUUUGAAUAAAUGAAUGAACUUCUCUCCCCUGGGUCCAUUUCUGGGUUGUCACUCUGGGGGCCAGACUCCAUCUCCCCCAAGUUUCUAGCUGUUUCUGGAUUCCCAUUUCUGGCCGGAUGCUAGUUGUGUCUGUGCUUCUCGAAAUUUCACGUGCAAUUUGCCUCACCC
This is a long non-coding RNA of Equus caballus (horse), 17968 nucleotides long. The record is from Ensembl. Lineage: Eukaryota; Metazoa; Chordata; Mammalia; Perissodactyla; Equidae.